UACGAAGGGGGCUAGCGUUGCCCGGAAUCACUGGGCGUAAAGCGCACGUAGGCGGGUCCUUAAGUCAGGGGUGAAAUCCCGGAGCUCAACUCCGGAACUGCCUUUGAUACUGGGGAUCUUGAGUCCGGAAGAGGUGAGUGGAACUCCGAGUGUAGAGGUGAAAUUCGUAGAUAUUCGGAAGAACACCAGUGGCGAAGGCGGCUCACUGGUCCGGUACUGACGCUGAGGUGCGAAAGCGUGGGGAGCAAACAGG
RNAcentral lists this ribosomal RNA (253 nucleotides) under uncultured bacterium. RNAcentral describes it as "partial 16S ribosomal RNA". It matches the Rfam family "Bacterial small subunit ribosomal RNA", at positions 524 to 776 of the family's 1533-position model. The record is from RNAcentral.